Magnolia sinica is the source of this 210-nucleotide long non-coding RNA. RefSeq lists it as uncharacterized. The transcript has 3 exons. The record is from RefSeq and is a predicted model, not a curated record. Lineage: Eukaryota; Viridiplantae; Streptophyta; Magnoliopsida; Magnoliales; Magnoliaceae.
CGACAUGAGCAAUAACAAUCUCGGAAACUCAAUACCUUAUCAACUUCCUCCAAACCUCCAACGACUAAAUCUGGCUGGGAAUAGCUUCAAUGGAGGCCUCCCUAAUUCGAUUUCCCAGAUGACUUCUCUCAAAUACCUAAACGUGAGUCGCAAUCAACUUCAGGUCGAAUUGGGUGGCCAAUUUGGUGGACAACUAACUGAUCUCUCAAC